CGACCGGCCACACUGGGACUGAGACACGGCCCAGACUCCUACGGGAGGCAGCAGUGGGGAAUCUUGCGCAAUGGGCGAAAGCCUGACGCAGCGACGCCGCGUGGGGGAUGAAGGCCUUCGGGUUGUAAACCCCUUUCAGCAGGGACGAAGCGAAAGUGACGGUACCUGCAGAAGAAGCGCCGGCUAACUACGUGCCAGCAGCCGCGGUAACACGUAGGGCGCAAGCGUUGUCCGGAAUUAUUGGGCGUAAAGAGCUCGUAGGCGGACUGUUGCGUCCGCUGUGAAAAGCUGGGGCUUAACCCUGGCCUUGCAGUGGAUACGGGCAGACUAGAGGUAGGUAGGGGAGAAUGGAAUUCCCGGUGUAGCGGUGAAAUGCGCAGAUAUCGGGAGGAACACCGGUGGCGAAGGCGGUUCUCUGGGCCUGACCUGACGCUGAGGAGCGAAAGCGUGGGGAGCGAACAGGAUUAGAUACCCUGGUAGUCCACGCUGUAAACGUUGGGCGCUAGGUGUGGGGUCCUUCCACGGAUUCCGUGCCGCAGCUAACGCAUUAAGAGCCCCGCCUGGGGAGUACGGCCGCAAGGCUAAAACUCGAAGGAAUUGACGGGGGCCCGCACAAGCGGCGGAGCAAGUUGCUUAAAUCGACGCAACGCGAAGAACCUUACCAAGGUUUGACAUGCAGGGAAAAGCCGUAGAGAUACGGUGUCCGCAAGGGCCCUGCACAGGUGGUGCAUGGCUGUCGUCAGCUCGUGUCGUGAGAUGCUGGGUUAAGUCCCGCAACGAGCGCAACCCUCGUUCUAUGUUGCCAGCGGAUAAUGCCGGGGACUCAUAGGAGACUGCCGGGGUCAACUCGGAGGAAGGUGGGGAUGGCGUCAAGUCAUCAUGCCCCUUAUGUCUUGGGCUGCAAACAUGCUACAAUGGCCGGUACAGAGGGCUGCGAAACCGCAAGGUGGAGCGAAUCUCAAAAAGCCGGUCUCAGUUCGGAUUGGGGUCUGCAACUCGACCCCAUGAAGUCGGAGUCGCUAGUAAUCGCAGAUCAGA
Molecule: ribosomal RNA, 1038 nt
Filed under: uncultured actinomycete
Lineage: Bacteria; Bacillati; Actinomycetota; Actinomycetes; Actinomycetales
Description: bacterial SSU rRNA
Rfam family: Bacterial small subunit ribosomal RNA
Source: RNAcentral